UCACUUCGGGGACGCUGAGACAGGUGGUGCAUGGCUGUCGUCAGCUCGUGUCGUGAGAUGUUGGGUUAAGUCCCGCAACGAGCGCAACCCUUGUCAUUAGUUGCCAUCAUUAAGUUGGGCACUCUAAUGAGACUGCCGGUGACAAACCGGAGGAAGGUGGGGAUGACGUCAAGUCAUCAUGCCCCUUAUGACCUGGGCUACACACGUGCUACAAUGGACGGUACAACGAGAAGCGAACCUGCGAAGGCAAGCGGAUCUCUUAAAGCCGUUCUCAGUUCGGACUGUAGGCUGCAACUCGCCUACACGAAGCUGGAAUCGCUAGUAAUCGCGGAUCAGCACGCCGCGGUGAAUACGUUCCCGGGCCUUGUACAC
RNAcentral lists this ribosomal RNA (372 nucleotides) under uncultured bacterium. RNAcentral describes it as "bacterial SSU rRNA". It matches the Rfam family "Bacterial small subunit ribosomal RNA", at positions 1014 to 1388 of the family's 1533-position model. The record is from RNAcentral.